UCAACUUUAAUGAUUCUAUUUUGUAGUUAAUGAAUAUGUGCUCACAUAGUUUUGCGUCAGGUGAUUUUUAAUAUAACGUCGAGAUGAUUCGUAUUAAUCGUAUGUAGCUCACAGAUUAUUCUUUUUUUUGUUUGAAUAUAAUAUCUACAUAUUUUUAACCACAAAGGAGAACUUUUAUCGAAGGACUAUGCAGUUCAAGACGGAGUCUACAGAUGAUUGCACACUCUCGAAGGAUUGAUGACCUCACUCAAUAAACGUUUUCACCAGAUUUUGUAGAAAUAAUCGAAUACCAUUGAAUUCCGUUGCCUGGGACUCGACGUUUUCCAGUAUGUAACCACUACAAAAUUAGGUAUACAAAUAGUUAAGCUAAGAAAUCAAAACGCGUCUUCAACUUUUGGUCUUAUCAUCUGAAGAUUUUAAUUCACCUUUCGUUUUCAUCUAAUUUACAUUACAGUAGUAUAUUUUUAUCUUUCGAGUGAUUUCUAGAAAAUCGUUCUAUAUUGUUUACGUGGAACUUGUCGCUUUCCGUCUUAUCGGGUUCAUCAUCAUCAUCAUCUCUUCUCUUUACCUUCUUCCUCUCUUUUAUAUUCCCCUUUUUACUUUUCUCUAUUUUAUUAUUCCCUUAUUUUUCAAUCCUCUCUCUUUAUUGUUGUUUGUUGACUCUAAGUAGCGUAGAAAGCACGCCCCGACGGCCAUAGUCAUCUUCGACGGGAAGAGGCUGCCUCUCGCCAGAAGGACGCCAUGCUGAACUCUAUCCGAAUAGACGUUCAUCUAUGCAUAAGGAAUAUAAGAACACGGCCAUCAGUCAAUAUCCGUAGAGACUAGGCGCGACGGCAGUAAUAUAUCUGAGCUAGCUGAAACAGCGACAGCUGCAACAGCGGUAUCGGUGCCUGUUAGAACAGAAUUGAAACGAAAUGGUCUGCAAUAAAUAGGUCGUCUGUACGUAGAAGAGGGAAACGGUGCCGUAUGAAUAAAAUCUGUAUAUGCCUUGCCGAUCAAAUGGUAUCUCAAAAAAAAAAGAACCUUUAUCCAAUAGUAAAAGUGUUUAUCUAAAGGUUACGUUGAUGUUAUCGCGCUCCCUAUGGUGUCAUUUAUAAGAAUAGUUAUUAUAGUUACUUUUGUUGCCUGUACGAUUGCCUCUGCCAGAUGCUACUGGUUGUUGUUCACGAUGUCAAUGGAUGGAUGAGCUAUUCAACUUUAUCGAUUUAUGAAAGGACAUCAGUGGACGCUGCCCUGCUUUUUGCGUGUGUAUAUUGAAAUUGUGGGCGGCGAUCGCUCAAACUGUUCUUUUAGUUACCGAAGACAGCAAAGUUGCCGCUUGGUGCACCUCUACGGUACACGAAUACGCAGAUAAAACUACCGAACUGUUUGGAUAAAUCUCUUAUAUUAUUUCCGCGUUUUUCCUAGUUGCUCAUCUGUUUCCCUCCUCUUUCUGUCGUUAAUCUUGAGAAGUCUCUGAAGUAGGCCAUAGUUGUGACCUUUUUCAUUUUUAUUAUCAUUUCAUGUUAAAGAAUGCGCUGCCAAGACGUUUGGUUUUUACGUUCCUGUAUUUUUUUCAUACUGUUUGGAUGUAGUACUCACUCGUAGUGGAAGUAAUAAUAUUUCUUUAAUAGUAAUGUCGCCAUUGGAUGUAUCUGUCGAAAGAGGAUACAAGUGUCAUGAAGUGAGGCUAUGUUUAUGUGGGCGGCCAUUAUUAAUAGAUCAUAUCUCUUGCCUUUUACUGUUGUUGUUCUAUCCAGGUCUUCGUUGUUGUUGUUGUUGCUGCUGCUGCUGUUGUUGUUGUUGUUGUUGUUGUUAUCGGCGUGGUAAAACCAUCAAGAGCGUCCGCCGCCUUUUCCGGAUGGCAGCAAGUUCCAUGUUUUAUUUAUUCUCGGCGCGAAAUGGACAAUCUCAGUGCUGCAGAAU
Long non-coding RNA from Varroa destructor (honeybee mite), 1905 nucleotides. NCBI's taxonomy places the organism in Eukaryota, Metazoa, Arthropoda, Arachnida, Mesostigmata, Varroidae. The record is from RefSeq and is a predicted model, not a curated record.